AAAAACUUGGUGAGGAAGUAAUUGAAGGAUCUAUGAAUAAUAAUAAUUUUGUUAUUAUUCUCAUUUUACAGGUAAAGGAACCGAGACUUAGAGACCUGCCCAUAGUAAGAAAAUGCAACAUCUGGGUCUAGGGUCCAAAUCUAUCUCUGCUGUGAAGAGGAACUCAUAUAGGAGAUGUACACGAUUACAAAUUCUUGGCCUUGCAGUGGAGGGAUGAGGAGGCCUCAGGAAACUUAACAAUCAUCAUGGAAGGGAAAGCAAACACAUCCUUCUUCACAUGGCAG
Molecule: long non-coding RNA, 284 nt
Filed under: Callithrix jacchus (white-tufted-ear marmoset)
Lineage: Eukaryota; Metazoa; Chordata; Mammalia; Primates; Cebidae
Description: lncRNA (ENSCJAG00000082841.1)
Source: RNAcentral